This is a long non-coding RNA of Leopardus geoffroyi (Geoffroy's cat), 639 nucleotides long. RefSeq lists it as uncharacterized. The transcript has 4 exons. NCBI's taxonomy places the organism in Eukaryota, Metazoa, Chordata, Mammalia, Carnivora, Felidae. The record is from RefSeq and is a predicted model, not a curated record.
UCUACUAGUGUCCGUUUCUGUAUCCAUGCCCAUUGUGACCGUCCUUUAUUUGCUGACCAAUGUGGCUUACAAUGUCAUCUUACAUAUGCCUUCUUUCCUGAAGCUGUUGCUGUGAUAUUUGGUAAUAAGGUCCAAAGCCAUGUUCAGCGACUAAUUCCUAUUACAGUGGCCAUGGCUUGUGUCAGUGAACUGAACUCAAUCAGUCAUUACAGCAUCCAGAAAUGCCAAUUGCUAUGUUUGCAGAGCAUCUAACUGAUGGCAGCCAAAGCCUCUCAUUCUUCACACCCAGUUUUCGGGCUCCUUUAUGUGGGCCCAAAGGAAGGGCACCUUCCCUUUGGUUUAAGCAUGAUCCCUGUGGAAUGAUUCACACUGGUCCCUGCUCUUCUCUCCAAACUAAGACUCUUCUUUCCUGUAGUUUCUUGCUUGUGUACCCUCUCUAUGAGAUACAGUCAACUCCUUAAUUGGAAUUGGAAUUUAUCUGGAAUUCCUGCAUAUUUCUUAAGAGUAUAUUUAUCAGCAAAAAUGACCUUCCAAUUUACAAAGACUAUGGUAAGAAAACAAACUCAACUUUGUUUCCACUGCACUCUGUGACUUGCAAUGCCAACCAUGUAAAUGGAAUAAAAGCUUGUAUGUGUAAAA